CCUAUAGAAAAAAUGUUCCAUGUCAACCUCUUCCACGGUUGCCGUAAUUAAUUUUCUCUUUGGGAA
Molecule: microRNA precursor, 66 nt
Filed under: Caenorhabditis elegans
Lineage: Eukaryota; Metazoa; Nematoda; Chromadorea; Rhabditida; Rhabditidae
Description: mir-8196 microRNA precursor family
Rfam family: mir-8196 microRNA precursor family
Source: Rfam by way of RNAcentral